UACUACCGAAGCUACGGCAUCAGUAAUGAUGGGUAGGGGAGCUUCCCAUACGGGUUGAAGCAUGACCGUAAGGACAUGUGGACAGUAUGGGAGUGAGAAUGUUGGCAUGAGUAGCGAGAUGUGGGUGGGAAUCCCACAGGCCGUAAACCCCAGGUUUCCAGGGGAAGGUUCGUCCGCCCUGGGUUAGUCGGGACCUAAGCUGAGGCCGAAAGGCGUAGGUGAUGGACAACAGGUUGAUAUUCCUGUACUACCGAUAACC
RNAcentral lists this ribosomal RNA (259 nucleotides) under Clostridioides difficile. Its description in RNAcentral is "partial 23S ribosomal RNA". It matches the Rfam family "Bacterial large subunit ribosomal RNA", at positions 1189 to 1455 of the family's 2925-position model. Lineage: Bacteria; Bacillati; Bacillota; Clostridia; Peptostreptococcales; Peptostreptococcaceae. The record is from RNAcentral.